RNAcentral lists this ribosomal RNA (430 nucleotides) under uncultured bacterium. Its description in RNAcentral is "bacterial SSU rRNA". It matches the Rfam family "Bacterial small subunit ribosomal RNA", at positions 354 to 776 of the family's 1533-position model. The record is from RNAcentral.
GUGGGGAAUAUUGGACAAUGGGGGGAACCCUGAUCCAGCCAUGCCGCGUGUGUGAAGAAGGCCUUUUGGUUGUAAAGCACUUUAAGCAGUGAAGAAGACUCUUCGGUUAAUACCCGGGGACGAUGACAUUAGCUGCAGAAUAAGCACCGGCUAACUCUGUGCCAGCAGCCGCGGUAAUACAGAGGGUGCAAGCGUUAAUCGGAAUUACUGGGCGUAAAGCGAGCGUAGGUGGCUUGAUAAGUCAGAUGUGAAAUCCCCGGGCUUAACCUGGGAACUGCAUCUGAAACUGUUAGGCUAGAGUAGGUGAGAGGGAAGUAGAAUUUCAGGUGUAGCGGUGAAAUGCGUAGAGAUCUGAAGGAAUACCGAUGGCGAAGGCAGCUUCCUGGCAUCAUACUGACACUGAGGCUCGAAAGCGUGGGUAGCAAACAGG